Molecule: ribosomal RNA, 962 nt
Filed under: Asianopis wangi
Lineage: Eukaryota; Metazoa; Arthropoda; Arachnida; Araneae; Deinopidae
Description: SSU rRNA
Rfam family: Eukaryotic small subunit ribosomal RNA
Source: RNAcentral
AACCGCGAAUGGCUCAUUAAAUCAGUUAUGGUUCCUUGGAUCGUACCUUACUACUUGGAUAACUGUGGCAAUUCUAGAGCUAAUACAUGCAGCAGAGCUCCGACCUUCGGGGACGAGCGCUUUUAUUAGACCAAAACCAAUCGGACCUCGUGUCCGUACGAUGUGGUGACUCUGUAUAACUUUGGGCUGAUCGCACGGGCCUGUCCCGGCGACGUAUCUUUCAAGUGUCUGCCUUAUCAACUGUCGAUGGUAGGUUACGCGCCUACCAUGGUCGUAACGGGUGACGGGGAAUCAGGGUUCGAUUCCGGAGAGGGAGCCUGAGAAACGGCUACCACAUCCAAGGAAGGCAGCAGGCGCGCAAAUUACCCACUCCCAGAACGGGGAGGUAGUGACGAAAAAUAACAAUACGGGACUCUUUUGAGACCCCGUAAUUGGAAUGAGUACACUCUAAAUCCUUUAACGAGGAUCCAUUGGAGGGCAAGUCUGGUGCCAGCAGCUGCGGUAAUUCCAGCUCCAAUAGCGUAUAUUAAAGUUGUUGCGGUUAAAAAGCUCGUAGUUGGAUCUCAGUUCCAGACGGGUGGUCCGCCUACCGGUGGUUACUGCCUGUUCUGAACAGCCAGCCGGUUUCUCUUGAUGAUCUUCACCGGUUGUCUUGGGUGACCGGCAAGUUUACUUUGAAAAAAUUAGAGUGCUCAAAGCAGGCGUGACGCCUGAAUAAUGGUGCAUGGAAUAAUGGAAUAGGACCUCGGUUCUAUUUUGUUGGUUUUCGGAACACGAGGUAAUGAUUAAGAGGGACAGACGGGGGCAUUCGUAUUGCGACGCUAGAGGUGAAAUUCUUGGACCGUCGCAAGACGAACUACUGCGAAAGCAUUUGCCAAGAAUGUUUCCAUUAAUCAAGAACGAAAGUUAGAGGUUCGAAGGCGAUCAGAUACCGCCCUAGUUCUAACCAUAAACGAUGCCAG